UAUAUGGUGGUGUAAUGUUUUAAGCACGAUAAAUCUUGAGUUUGUUGGUCUGGGUGAUUCUUGACAUAUAG
Molecule: transfer RNA, 71 nt
Filed under: Asiomorpha coarctata
Lineage: Eukaryota; Metazoa; Arthropoda; Diplopoda; Polydesmida; Paradoxosomatidae
Description: tRNA-Gln
Source: RNAcentral